GCCCCGUUCGUCUAGCCCGGUCUAGGACACCUCUCUUUCAAGGAGGAAACAGGGGUUCGAAUCCCCUACGGGGUA
This 75-nucleotide transfer RNA is filed under the name Bacteroidota bacterium. RNAcentral's name for it is "Bacteroidetes bacterium tRNA-Glu". It matches the Rfam family "tRNA". Rfam says of the family: Transfer RNA (tRNA) molecules are approximately 80 nucleotides in length. Their secondary structure includes four short double-helical elements and three loops (D, anti-codon, and T loops). Further hydrogen bonds mediate the characteristic L-shaped molecular structure. tRNAs have two regions of fundamental functional importance: the anti-codon, which is responsible for specific mRNA codon recognition, and the 3' end, to which the tRNAs corresponding amino acid is attached (by aminoacyl-tRNA synthetases). tRNAs cope with the degeneracy of the genetic code in two manners: having more than one tRNA (with a specific anti-codon) for a particular amino acid; and 'wobble' base-pairing, i.e. permitting non-standard base-pairing at the 3rd anti-codon position. The record is from RNAcentral. RNAcentral also lists the same sequence under 3 other names. Lineage: Bacteria; Pseudomonadati; Bacteroidota.